CUUGGAUUUUUAUUUGGCAAAUAUUAAUUGUAUGAUAAAUUAUCAUGCACAGCAAUGUUUUUUUUUCCUGAAAAUGUUCUGUAUUUUUUAUGCACCUCUCAGUCUCCCAUGUAGCAUCCUUUUGAAAAAUAUGAUAAAGUCCCUUCUAAUCCAGUGGCCUUUUUUUUUAAUUUUUUUUUGGUGCCACCUCUGUAUCAAACUAAGCUCGGUCCAGAAGUGGACUCAGUCUUGUGUCUCUGCUUGCUCUGUCCCCUCCAGAGCCCCGCUCCAGUCUCCUUGCCUCCCCACUGAUGAGGGGCUGGAGGACGCCUUCUUUGCAGAAGAGGCCCUCAGCUUCGCGCAGCUAGAAGAAGCUGAGAUAAGUGAUCUGGAAGGUGCUUUCGUACAGCUUCAGAUGCCUUGUCCUUUGCUUGAAGCACCUAGACACCUAGCAGCAUGUCCAAGCAUGCUCGAGACCUUGAGCUAG
Molecule: long non-coding RNA, 466 nt
Filed under: Cairina moschata (Muscovy duck)
Lineage: Eukaryota; Metazoa; Chordata; Aves; Anseriformes; Anatidae
Description: domestica (muscovy Duck (domestic type)) lncRNA (ENSCMMG00000000825.1)
Source: RNAcentral